UUGUAGUUUGAGUAAAAGAUUGUUUACUUGUCACAACUGAAAAAUGUCACCUUUCAGAAUGCAUGAUAAGAUUGCUGUAUUCUUCCUUAAAAUACUGUGGCAAAGUGAGUUCCUGCUCUGUCACUAUGUCUUCAUUUCCUCUUACAUCUCUUCCACUGCUAGAGUAGCCUGUAAAAGCUUUAGUUAUGCACCUUUUAACAUGACUCAAAUAUUCAUGAAGUUAAUCAGGGGCUGACAACACUUCUGCUUUGUUUCUUCAACUGGAAGUGCCCACUACAACCUAAAGAUUACAACUGUGAGGAGCCAAAGGCUGUUACAGCUUCAGAGGCCUGGGCUGACCUGCCCUGUGCAGGCUGCAAUGGCUGGGGAUGCUGGUGUGUGUCUAAUGAGAAGUUGCUGCACGGACUGUGUGGCUGGGAGCAGUGCACACUCACACUGCUAAAGGUUUUCUCCUGGCCCUGAAUCUGUGAUCCUGUUUGUAGUUCUCUAAUUGCAACCAGCAGAAGACAAGGGUGGUGUUGGUUUUUAUGACUUGUUGCUUAGCAGCAUUGAUCAACAGAAGUCCAACCUUUUCUUUUGCUGUGACCUCGGUGAACCCGGGCUUGGCCGGAGCUCACCAGUGGGGAACAAGGGUUUCUGAGGCUGUGUGAAACUCCUGUGCUGUGCCUUGUUAGCAGUGGCUGAGGGAAAGCAUCUCUUCUUGACCUCCUGGUUACCUUUGCCCUUUACUCCUCUUUCUCUCUCUCAUCACAUCUUAGAAGAAAGCAGGCACCGUCCUAGGAAGAUUUGGAGGAUGGGAAAUACAGGGACAAGUUAACUGUACUAAGAUGUAUCCUGCCUCUUUUCAGGAAAAGGAGCUAAGCUGGUUCCCAGACUGUGAUGUGAGACCCUCCUCUCAUGGAAGGAGAAGGACUUCAGCCAUCACAAAGGGAUUUCACAAACCGAACCAGAAGUGGUAUUGAACAUGGUUGAAAAUGAUUGAAGGUCUGCACUGGAUGUGUGCCUUUAUCUGUUCACAUCUGGCAAAGCCUGUAAAAUAAGAGCAAGGAGAGAAGUGGGGAACUCUGGUUAAGAUCAAUAAGCUUUUAGAAACAG
This is a long non-coding RNA of Melozone crissalis (California towhee), 1095 nucleotides long. RefSeq lists it as uncharacterized. The record is from RefSeq and is a predicted model, not a curated record. Lineage: Eukaryota; Metazoa; Chordata; Aves; Passeriformes; Passerellidae. The transcript is spliced from 3 exons.